Molecule: ribosomal RNA, 852 nt
Filed under: Triticum aestivum (bread wheat)
Lineage: Eukaryota; Viridiplantae; Streptophyta; Magnoliopsida; Poales; Poaceae
Description: partial small subunit ribosomal RNA
Source: RNAcentral
AUGGAGGAAAAGGCGACCCAGAAAGCGGCGGCGGAGGGGAACCCCUCGCCGGAGUUGUGCCUGAGGAUUCCCGGGGACUACGCCGUCGGCUCCAUCCCCACCGUCCUAUACGUUCCCGACUUCAUCUCCCAGACCGAGCAGGCCCAGCUCCUCCACCAUAUAUAUCAGGCACCGGCGCCCAAGUGGAAGAUUUUGAAAAACCGGCGGCUCCAGAACUGGGGAGGAGUGGUGCAUGAGAAGGGGCUACUGCCGCAGGCGUUACCUCCAUGGCUUACAAAGAUAACUGGCAGAAUCUGCCAGUGGACUGGUUUAUUUCCUUCUGCAAUCAACCAUGUUCUGAUUAAUGAGUAUCAUCCUAAUCAAGGGAUCAUGCCACACCAAGAUGGUCCUGCCUAUUUUCCUGUUGUCGCUAUCAUAUCCCUUGCUUCAGCGGUUGUGCUUGAUUUCACACCCCAUGGAAAGCUCAGAGGGCUCGAACAUACACAUCUCCAAAAUACACAAUCUGAUGAGUUGCAGGAGAGUAAUGGUUCUUAUAAGGUUGAAGGCAUGAAGGAAGCUGGUCCUGCUUCUUCGUCACUUCUACUAAUGCCCUGCAGCCUCUUAAUAUUCAAAGAUCAGGCUUAUACAGACUUCCUACAUGGUAUACAAGACAAUGAGCUGCAUAAUCUAGACAAGGUUGCAAAUGUCUCACAGUGCCCACAAUUCAAGCAUCUAAGCCAUGAUUACAGCCCAGGCAAAGCAGAUAGCAGUGUUAGCUCUGAGCCAAGUGGCACCUUCCGCAGGACCACGACAAGAGUCUCGUUGACGUGCCGGCUAGUGUUGAAUGUGCAUAGUAAGCUGUUUAAAUACUAG